UGUAAGCGUAUACCAAAGUUGUUGCAGUUAAAACGCUCGUAGUCGGAAUUUGGCAGUUCCGGAUGUGUGCACGUCGUGUGCGCACUUCGCGGGGAUUGCUUUUGUGGUCUUGCGUAGGAUGAGGCACUUUUAUUAGUGAACGUCCUCACGCAACCACUUUUUACUGUGAGCAAAUCAGAGUGCUCAAAGCAGGCAUUUGCCGUGAAUGUAUUAGCAUGGAAUAAUAGAAUAGGACUUGGUUCUAUUUUGUUGGUUUGUUGGGACUGAGUAAUGAUUAAGAGGGACAGUUGGGGGCAUUUGUAUUUCGGUGCUAGAGGUGAAAUUCUUAGAUUACCGAAAGACAAACUGCUGCGAAAGCGUCUGCCAAGGAUGUUUUCAUUGA
RNAcentral lists this ribosomal RNA (382 nucleotides) under uncultured eukaryote. RNAcentral's name for it is "partial 18S ribosomal RNA". It matches the Rfam family "Eukaryotic small subunit ribosomal RNA", at positions 592 to 976 of the family's 1831-position model. The record is from RNAcentral.